This is a long non-coding RNA of Gadus chalcogrammus (walleye pollock), 5333 nucleotides long. RefSeq lists it as uncharacterized. The transcript has 12 exons. The record is from RefSeq and is a predicted model, not a curated record. NCBI's taxonomy places the organism in Eukaryota, Metazoa, Chordata, Actinopteri, Gadiformes, Gadidae.
ACCAAGUGUUAAAGAGGCCGCUGUGACAUUGGUUACAAGAACUGGAACGUCAUUUAAGAUGGUGACAGGGUCUCGGCUACGGAUAAACGCCCGGGGGUAGAUGUGCGGGCUCUUCCUCAUCAACUUGAACACAAUCUUGGUCUUGCACCAGAAAACCAUAAAUCCCCUUUCACCAUUCCCCUCCCUCAUACAUCUUGAAGCCGUAGAGAGGGCACAACUGCAGUUACGAAAAGGGUCUGUGUUGGGAUCUUACCGGGAUGUUGUCUGAUCUGAGUGGACCCAGCUUCCAGGGCCAGCUGGUCUCGUCCACCACUCUACAGUUCAACCUGAGGAAGGCCUGCCUCUGAGCCAGUAGAGGCCUCAUCGACCUGCUGCUCAGAUGGGACGACGAGGAUCGUGCUAUGAAAGACCUACCACCCCAACGCUUCUCUGUUCACGACCCAGCACCCCAACGCUUCUCUGUUCACGACCCAGCACCCCAACGCUUCUCUGUUCAAGACCAAGCACCCCAACGCUUCUCUGUUCAAGACCAAGCACCCCGACACUGCUCUGUUAAAGACCAAGCACCCCAACGCUUCUCUGUUCAAGACCAAGCACCCCGACACUGCUCUGUUCAAGACCAAGCACCCCGACACUGCUCUGUUCAAGGCCCUGCUCCCCAACACUGCUCUGUUCAAGGCCCUGCUCCCCAACACUGCUCUGUUCAAGGCCCUGCCCCAACCUAUGCUCUGUUCAAGGCCCUGCUCCCCAACACUGCUCUGUUCAAGGCCCUGCUCCCCAACACUGCUCUGUUCAAGGCCCUGCUCCCCAACACUGCUCUGUUCAAGGCCCUGCUCCCCAACACUGCUCUGUUCAAGGCCCUGCUCCCCAACACUGCUCUGUUCAAGGCCCUGCUCCCCAACACUGGGUUCACCUUCUCACCACUUCCAUCAAAUCCUGUCCUCGGGCUCAUCAAAGUGGCAGAGUGGACAUCUGAAGGAUACUCAUUGAGGAAACCAUUGACUGCCAGGACGUCACUUCAGGGACAUGAGUCAACCUUGUUUAUAAUUUGUACACACCCAGCACAACCAAUGACUGACCGUGGUCAGUACUGGAUGUUCACUGUUGGAAGUGUUCAAGAAUAUUGGACAAACGUAGAAUUGACGACUAGUUCAACCUAGCAUAGUAAUUCAUGUGUGGGCGAGGCCAGGAUUCUUCAGGUGGCCAGGGUUCUACCUUGCCUGGGGUUCUUCAUGUGGGUGUGGUCCGGGUUCUAGCUGGCCUCUGGUUCUUCAUGUGGUCCGGGUUCUACCUGGUUGUUCUCCACAUGGUCCGGGUUCUACCUGGUUGUUCUCCACAUGGUCCGUGUUCUACCUGGUUGUUCUCCACAUGGUCCGGGUUCUACCUGAUUGAUCUCCACAUGGUCCGGGUUCUACCUGAUUGAUCUCCACAUGGUCAGGGUUCUACCUGGUUGUUCUUCACAUGGUCGGGGUUCUACCUGGUUCUCCACAUGGUCAGGGUUCUACCUGGUUGUCCUCCACAUGGUCAGGGUUUUACCUGGUUCUCCACAUGGUCAGGGUUCUACCUGGUGGUUCUCCACAUGGUCAGGGUUUUACCUGGUUCUCCACAUGGUCAGGGUUCUACCUGGUUGUUCACAUCUUCAGGUGGUCUACCUGGCCUGGGGGUCUUCGGGUGGUCAGUGUUCUACCUGGCCUGGUUGUUCUUGAGGUGGUCAGGGUUCGACCUGGCCUGGGGGUCUUCAGGUGGUCAGUGUUCUACCUGGCCAGGUUGUUCUUGAGGUGGUCAGGGUUCGACCUGGCCUGGGGGUCUUCAGGGGGACAGGGUUCGACCUGGCCUGGGGGUCUUCAGGUGGACGGGGUUCGAUCUGGCCUGGGGGUCUUCAGGUGGUCGGGGUUCGACCUGGCCUGGGGGACUUCAGCCGGGCAAGGCCGUCGUUCGACGUGACGUGGCAUUCUUGGUGUUCACACUUGCAUCACGAAAAAUGUGAAUGGUCAUUCAUGCUUGAAAGACUGCGCCGUAGCUGCCCUUGCUACCCCGACGUGAUCGAUGGCUGGUAAGCCCUGUGGAUUGUAUCUUCUGGACUCCUGUGCUGGGAUGCAUGUCUUUCUUGGGCUGAAUUUUAAUGUAUUGGACGAGGCUAGCUGGACCUGGGAGAUGGUUCCCCUUUGAAUCAGAAACCAUCUUGGAAACAUCCCAACUAUGGUUCUCUUCAAGCUGCAGUUCUUCUCUUCUUCAGAUGAGGUGAAGAAAUCCUCACUGGAUCUUCAAGAUCUAUGAAGAGGAAUAUUGAAAUGUGCACUGGUUCUCUCCCUUAAGCGCUGUGGUGUAUUCUAGUCGCUGAGAAGGAGCCCUCCCAUCCUACUCAUGGUGUUUCUCCUUGGACUCCCUGUCACUGUGUUGACGGAUGUUCCAGGUCACGUAAAUGACGGGUGGGGGGCAUGUCUACAGAACGGUAGACUUUCGACAGCACUGUAUCCUAGCAUGCAUCGCUUGUCAGACAGACCACACCCGGAUCAAUAUGGCGAUGCUCAUGUGAUAUGAAGCGAGGAAGUGGCCAAAAGAAAUGAGAUUAGUUUAUUUUGUACUCUAGCAUUGUUAAUUAGUUAAAUGUUAAUGUUAGCUGAAAUGUUUAGUCAAAAUGAUUUGUACAUAAACCAACGGCAACAAACUACCAGAUCGUCUACGGUAAGUCUGUUGGCUGUAUUGUGCAACGAGACGACCAAAGAAUCACCAAGAUGUGCAUCGUCGUUCCGCAUCGUCGUUCCGCUCAAGGUGAGGUGCUGGUUACGUUACUUAUGGGUGGUUCAUACUGGAACGUUACGAUUCCAGUAUGACAGGGUUUGGGCUUACUGCGGAGGUUGGUGGUUAGCUUUGUGCAUGUUGUGGACCUCUAAGGCUGCAGUACUGCGUAUGGUGGAUGUUGAGUCACCUGGGAGGGCAACUGGCAGUACGAUUGGGAUUUGCGUAACCUCAUCCGCACCUUAUUAUGGCGUCUGGCAGUAUGAUCCAUAUCGGCCUUUGCGUUAACCGCAUCACUAAUGAGCGUACCCAAUUAAAGUAAUUUGGCAGUUCCCCAUUGCUAUCGGUAACCAUCUGCGAUAUUUGGUAAAUUUAUUUUGCUCUAGGUACAGCACACUUAAAAGAACUAUGUUUAAAGUUAUCCCACAAAUACCGCACAACGACUUUGAUAAUUGUCCUCCAAAAGCGACUCGCAUUUUUGGCGUACACAUUUUCGGGUCGCGUAAAUGAUGCAGAGAUCGGCAUCUCCAUACUACGGCUUUUUGGAUCUUCAACGACCCAGCAGCUGAAUGAGGCUUGGUAUCAUUUUACUAUCAUAAAUUACUAUCGAUAAUGCUAGUGCUUUAAAUACCUGGGCUGUAAUUGGCCCGGUUAUAUCCAACCAAAUGGAAGUUAAAUUACAGCUACAGAGCCGAGAUUGUAACUAGUUUUUCACGAGCUGAAUUUUGCUUCAGUGCUUUGGCUGAAUAACUUAACUCUUUAGUCUCCUAGACUUCAGAAACAAAAGGAAAGGUUCAAUGUAAACGUGCUUAAUUGCGUAAAAACAAAUGGCAUAGCUGUCCAGUUGAGUCAAGUAAAUGGUUGCAAAUGCUCAACGUUGUGAUGUUUGUAAACGGGUGAAUGUUGUGUUAACAGUGGGGAACUCCAGGCCUUGCUGUCUUGAAGCUGUAUGAUGCGCAAUAUGUCACUCCAACCCCACAGACCAUGAAUCCUUGGCUGAAGAGAGCUGUUGAAGGAACCAUGCAUCUGGAGGAAGACCUUGACUCUACCUGCCAACCAGUAGUACUGUAAGUUUGCAUGAACUGAACAUGGUGGACUUGAGGCGAAAUCACUGCUGUUUGUUCCAGACCAGGACUCGGUGGUGGCGGGGCGCUGAUGGAGCCGUGCUGAGGACCUGCAGGUGAAGGACGUCCCUUGUGGGGGUAAUGACAAGACACUGAGAUGACGUAGAUGAAUCACCAGGAUCCGCUUGGAGGCUACGAUGUGACUGCUGAGCUUUCUGGAAGUCCCGGAGUCCUUGGCGGAGGAGAGCUGAUGGAGGAGCAGGGCAUCUGGAGAAGGACCAUGAAUCUACCUGCCAACCGGUAGCACUGCCCUGUUUGUCCUCAACAGGAAGGCAGGGCAGAGGCAGGUGAUGGGAGAUCCUACCUGGUGAAGGAUCUCUGGGUGGGGCGAGUGACACCCGACUCCAGGGGACGACCACUGCGGAGAGGGCUGAAGGAGGAGCAUGCAUCUGGAAGUGGGGAACUCCAGGCCUUGCUGUCUUGAAGCUGUAUGAUGCGCAAUAUGUCACUCCAACCCCACAGACCAUGAAUCCUUGGCUGAAGAGAGCUGUUGAAGGAACCAUGCAUCUGGAGGAAGACCUUGACUCUACCUGCCAACCAGUAGUACUGUAAGUUUGCAUGAACUGAACAUGGUGGACUUGAGGCGAAAUCACUGCUGUUUGUUCCAGACCAGGACUCGGUGGUGGCGGGGAGCUGAUGGAGCCGUGCUGAGGACCUGCAGGUGAAGGACGUCCCUUGUGGGGGUAAUGACAAGACACUGAGAUGACGUAGAUGAAUCACCAGGAUCCGCUUGGAGGCUACGAUGUGACUGCUGAGCUUUCUGGAAGUCCCGGAGUCCUUGGCGGAGGAGAGCUGAUGGAGGAGCAGGGCAUCUGGAGAAGGACCAUGAAUCUACCUGCCAACCGGUAGUACUGGAAGGCAGGGCAGAGGCAGGUGAUGGGAGAUCCUACCUGGUGAAGGAUCUCUGGGUGGGGCGAGUGACACCCGACUCCAGGGGACGACCACUGCGGAGAGGGCUGAAGGAGGAGCAUGCAUCUGGAAGGUGCAGUUGAAAUGGCGUGUUCAUUCUGGGGCAGACACACCUGAGCUGCAUCACAACUGUAACUCUGACCUGCUGGAGUCCUCCGGAGGUCAACAUACGGCGCCUCAUCACAGCUCCUCGCUGGCCUGCGAAUUAAUCUGCUCCACUCACAGCACGUCACCAUGUGCUGCACGUUGGGAUGCUCCCAAUGUGUUCCAUCGAGGGUUCCUUCCUCGAAACUGGGAGGGCCCCUUCCUCUCCACACUGGGAGGGUUCCUUGUCCUUCAAGGCGUCGGGGUUCAGUGUUAGGGACAGAGUUAGGGACAGAUGGUUGAGCUGGUUUUACGAUAUACGCUUUGUGUUCAAGGGUGGAUGGACAUCCGACAACGCUUCCCCCAAAAUGUUUUAAUGUGCAAACGCUUUGUAAAAUGUAUACUAAUGUUUUUUUUAUUUAAAAUCAUGUUUAACCAAUUCUACCUGGUUGUGUGGCUUUUUCUGUAUGUUUUGCA